GUUGUAUCGAAAUAAUUACAAAGUGGGAGAAGCAAAUGUCUGUAGAAGGAUCAUCUGAGUUGGAUGUAUGGCCUUAUCUUGCAAAUUUGACAAGUGAUGUGAUUUCUCGAACGGCUUUUGGGAGUAGUUAUGAAGAAGGAAGAAGGAUUUUUCAGCUCCAGGCAGAGCUAGCUGAACUCACAAUGCAGGUCUUUCGUUCAGUUCACAUUCCAGGAUGGAGGUAUAUUCACAUUUCUCUUCACUGGAAACAUUCAUAUAUACAUGUCAUAUAGGAUUAUUUAUGAUUAGGCUUUGAUUAACUUUGCGGGAGUUAUUUUCUUUCGCGCAAAAUAUUAGAAGUAGACCUAGCUGAUUCGGCUCAGAUAUCUUGAUUGUGCUAAUCAUAGAGUUAUUCUAAGAGGCUCCAGCAGAUUUCUGAUUGGUAAAAAGAGGGCAAAAAAAAAUUAAGGGUUUGAUUAGUUUGUUUAGUUCUUGUCUUUUCAGUUGUUUCAUUGCUUAUAUAUAGGUUUUUACCUACAAAGAGAAAUAGGAGAAUGAAAGAAAUUGACAAGGAAAUCCGGGCUUCAUUGAUGGGAAUCAUCAAAAAUAGGGAGAAGGCAAUGAAAGCAGGGGAAGCUGCGAACGAUGACUUGUUAGGCAUACUGAUGGAAACCAGUUUUAGAGAGAUUGAAGAACAUGGAAAUAACAAAAAUGUUGGGUUCAGCAUGAACGAUGUGAUCGAAGAGUGUAAGCUAUUUUACUUUGCCGGCCAAGAGACUACCUCUGUUUUGCUUAAUUGGACGAUGGUCUUAUUGAGCAAGCAUCAAGAUUGGCAAGAACGUGCAAGGCAAGAGGUUUUGCAAGUGUUUGGCAAUAAUAAGCCCAACUAUGAUGGAUUGAAUCACCUCAAAAUUGUAAGUACGAAGGAAAUAGUAUUCGAUAUUGAUCAAUUUGAUCAUAUUAAUCUCAGUUGUGUUUGUAUGUAUGUGACAGGUCCAGAUGAUACUUUACGAGGUACUCAGGCUUUAUCCGCCCGUAACUGCGCUUAGUCGAUCUGUUCUUAAGGAAACGAAACUCGGAAACUUGACAUUACCCGCUGGGGUUCAAAUUGGCUUGCCAAUGAUCCUAGUUCACCAGGAUCCUGAACUUUGGGGUUACGAUGCAGUUGAGUUUAAGCCGGAAAGGUUUGCGGAAGGAAUUUCAAAGGCGGCCAAAAAUCAAGUUUCAUAUUUCCCAUUCGCAUUGGGUCCUAGGAUAUGUGUUGGACAAAAUUUUGCUCUAGUAGAAGCAAAAAUGGCCAUGGCAAUGAUUCUUCAAAACUACUCAUUCGAGUUGUCUCCAUCCUAUGUCCAUGCUCCAACGGCGGUUCCAACCCUUCAUCCGGAACUGGGUACCCAAUUGAUUCUACGGAAACUAAGGUGCAAAAAUAAUUAAUGCCGGCAACUAUAUAUUGUCAAUAAGAUUAGCAUGAUGCCAAUGUAGACUCUUUUAUAAUGAAGUUUAAUGUAUUUAAUUUUGUAUUGAGAUUCAAAGCUUAGACAAGAGCUGUUUAGAUUUUUAAAUUGAGCUCAACACAACUCUAGUUUUAUUUAGAGUAAAGAUGUUUCCCCACAUUGGAAAAUUUUAUAACGCCAUGAUUAGAAUUACAGCAUUAAUGUUGUGGUAAAAAAUAUAUUUUAUAAAAGGCCAAAAGCUUGCUUAGUCCCUACAUUAUGAGCUUAGUGCUCAUUUAAUCUCUAUAUUUUUAAGAAUACCUCAAAACGUCCUUACUAUUAAAUAUUGACAUUUAUACCAUUAUUUUUUUAGCAUGUUUUUACAAUUUUACACUCUUACAGUAAUGUUUCUUUUUUAGAAAUUAAUAAAAAAUUGGAUUAUCAAAUUAAACCCAAAAAUAAAAUAAAAAACAAAAAAGAUAUAUAUUAAUUUUUGUGGAAGCUCAUGUGUGUCCAAAAAAAAAUAAUUUUGUAAAAAAUUAAAUUAUCAAUUUUGUAAAAAAUUAAAUUAUCAAUUUUGUAAAAACUUAAAUUAUCAAUUUUUUUUUAAAAAUUAAUAUUUUAACUUCUCAGCAGAGUGUUCCACAAAAAUUAAUAUAUAUAUUGUUUUUAUUUUAUUUUUUGGUGUUAAACUAGUAAUUUAAUUUUUCUUUUUAAUAAUGUUUAAAAAAGGAACAUUAUUGUAAUAGGGUAAUAUUGUAAAAAUAAGUCAAAAUGAACAAAAGGUAAUGGCAAGGAUGUCAAUAAUUUAAUGAUAGGGAUGUUUUGAGAUGUUUUUAAAAAUAUAAGGACUAAACGGACACUAACCUUAAAAUAUAGGAACUAAACGAACUUUUACCCUUUAUAAAAUUAUACAUAAGAUAAGUGAUUGGAAGAUAAAACAUGUAAAUUAAUAUAAGCCAGUUAAUUAUUAAAACAAUUAACAUGAUUUCUACAUAAUUUUAGUGAAAAAUAAUUUUUUCAUUUACUUUAGCUAAACAAUGAAAUAAAAAUAGUCAUCAAUCUAAGACCAAAAAAAUUAUACUAAAAACAAGUAGAAUAAGUUUUACUGAAUUGGUUUAAGAAUAAAUUCUAUAUUUGUCUUAAGAUAUUUAUAAACUUUUUUUUUUCAUUUUCUAUCAUUGUUUUUUUUUUACUACACAAGUUAACUAAGUGAAAUAAUUUAUCUUAAUGUGGAUUAAACAAAAAAUAAAAUAAAAACAUGUUCUUAUAUUACUAAACACAUAUAUGACAUAUCAAUAAAGUUAGAUUUAAUUUUGAGUUUUACAAGUACUUCUUGUAAUUUUAACCGUGACCCCUUACUUGUAUUUAGAAACUAGUUGCAUUACUGAUGAGGAGAUUUAGAAGGAUGAAAAAUCAUGUCAUCUUACAAUAAAUUCAAAAAACAUUAAAAGAAUAGAUUUCAAAAUCUAAUUUUGAGAAUAAAUUUAUAUAAAACAUCACAUUUAUUACAUAAGACCAAAACUAUCAUUAUUCAAUUUAAAAUAGAAUUAAUAAAUAUAUAAGGUAAUCAAUAUUAUAAUGAGUUUUUAUUUUACAUUUGUAAGUUUUUUUUAAUAACUCUUAUAUUAAUUUUGUAAAUUACACCUAAACUUAUGUUUUAUUUGUACUUAAUAUUGAUUUAUAGUUUUAUAUUAUGUCUUUAAAUUUUUAUUUUGUUCACUACCAAUACAUUAAUUUACCAAUCUUAUAUUAAUUUACUUAUUUUAUCUUUUAUUUACAUGUCUUAUGUUUCAUUUACGCAAUUUAUAUUUUAUUUCACACUAAAUAUUGAUUUAUAAAUUAUAUAUUACAUUUGUAAGUUUUUCUUUUGUUUAUCAAUAAUAUACCAGUUUAUCACUCCUAUUUUAAUUUGUUUGUUUUACCUUCUACUUACAAGUCUAAUAUUUUAUUUACAUAAUUUAUAUGUUAUUUCACAGUUAAUAUUGAUUUACAUGCUUUAUAUUAAAUUUAUAAGUCUUAUGUUUCAUUUACAUAAUUCAUAUUUGAUUACAUAAAUUCAUGACAUCAUCAAGUGACCUUGUACUUUAUAAUCGGGUGAGGCUAUUUAUUUAUAUAUUCUAAAAGUUAUUUUUAAUCCUCUUUAUUUAAUAAAAUUUUAUAUUAUAAAAAUGUCCUUUUAUGAAAUUAGUAUUAAGGAUUGAAUAAUUUUAACUUGAAACAAAUAUCCUUGACACACCCAUGUAUUAUAAAAUCUUAAAUCACCAUCAUCAUCUUCUUCUUCUUCUUUUUAAAUCAAUUUUUUUUCAAUUGGAAAAUUUGAAAGAUUGAAGACUUCUUUGCAAAUUUUUGUCAUGGGUGCACGUAUCCUCACUCUAAUAUCGUUUUCACCAAAUAUAUUUCAUUAACAUCUUCGAAAUAAGAUUAAUGGAAAUUAUAUUUAUGUAACUGAUACCUCAAUGAUAAAUUGUAGCCAAUACAUACUAAAAAUCAAAAUCACAAGAACUAUGAUUCAAUAAAAGAAACGAAGAAUUAUGAUUCAAUAAAAGAAAAAGGGAUAUAUAAUUUAUCUCAAGCCUUUAAUAAGAAGAGAGAAAAUUACUUUAGAAAAAGAAUAAUAAAACAGGAGCCCCCCAAAAAAAAAAUUCAAGACUAUUUUUUAGAUUUAUAUAUUUUACAUAGUAAAAAUUUGAUUUUAAAUUUUAAACGUUGUAUUUGAAAUAAUGAGUGCGCAGGCGGACCUAAGCGGGGGUGUAGCCCGGAUUAGUCCAGGAAAGUUAUUUAUAGCCCUUAUUUUUUUAUUAAUUUUAUAUAAUAAUAUAGUUUUAUUUUUUUUCAUAUUUGUCCCUAAUUUAACUACCCUUAUGUUUUUUUUUAUCAAUUUUAUAAAAUAAUACAGUUUUUAUUUUAUUUUCAAAUAUGUUCCUAAUUCAAUUAUAUUUUCUUCCCAAUUGGAAUUAGUGACUUAUUUCAUGAAAUAAUUAAAUUAUAUAUUUAUUGAAUAAAUUGAAAAGAUUUGGGAGCUAAAAUAUUAUUACUGUUUUAAUUUAUUUAUAAAAAUAAUUUAAUUGAAAAAAUGCCAAUACUUACAAAAACAAAAUAUAGUAACAACUAUAUAUCAACAUUUCUUAACUUUUAUGUGAAUUUUGAGAUUUUAGUUAUUAGUUACAUUAACCAAGAGGAUAAGUUAUAAGAUAAAAUUUAAAUAUUUUGAGGAGUUUUUGAUAGAAAAACCGUCAACAGUAGGUUCUUUAAAAAAAAGGUAGAGUGUAUGACAAAGAAACAAUGAUACCCAAAUAACUUUAUGUUAAGUUGAGUUUAGUUUAUUAUUAAAACUUUUGACUAAUAAUAUUUUAAAAUUUAAAAAGACGAAUAAAUUUUAAUUGUUUAAUUUAUUUAAGCUUGGUAAUUAAGUACUUGACUUCAAAUAUAAAAGUUUUACUACCAUUUUUAAUAAAUUGUGAUUACAUGUAUAGAUUUAUUUUAGCUUGAAAUUCUCAAUUGAUUUACUUAAAGGUUUUAUUGAGGACUUUUUUAGUAUUUUAAAAAGUGUGCAGAGUUAAAGAGAGUAGCUUUUUCAGUAUUUUAUGAGAUCGUGGCUGCAGCUGUUAAGAGAGUAGCUUUAAAAGGAAAUGUGGCAAACAUGGAGGCAGAAGCAGUGCUGCUUGGUAUUCAAGUAGCUCAGAAAACAAAUUGUACCCUAUUCAUUGUCGAAUCAGACUUGAAGGAAGUUGUGGAGCUCACUUUAAACAAGAAGGAAAGUUUAGCUAAAAUUUGUUGGAACAUUGAAGAAAUACAAGCAGAGUUGAAAAACCAGGCCUCGGCAGCUAUUCGUUUUGUCCCAAGAAAGUGUAAUGUAAUAGCCCAUAACUUAGCUAAUGUAGCUCUUGAGUUUGAGGAUCCUAUCUAUCACAUGGAUAGGUGAUUUCCCUGUCCAGCUGUUGAUGUUGUUCUCUUCUUCUUAAUCAAUUGAAUGCUUUACUUUCUCAUAGAAAAAAAAAGAGUGUGUGCAGAGUAAAAAUUAAUUAUUUUAAAGAGUGAGUAUAUUUGAACCCACCAAAUUACUUUGUAAACUCAUCUACUUAUUAAUUCUAUUGUUAAAAAUUUUAUAUUAUACUUUAUAAACCCAUGUUAAUAACCAACAUAUCCUUGAAAUUAAUUCAUGAUUUUCUGCAACAUUUUUCUUCUCUUCUUCUUCUUCCAUCUCUCCAACCCUUGGCGCAUUCAUAACCAAAGGUCGUAUCCUUCAACUUCUCAAGUGGAAUUUAUUUUUUGUCCGCGCUUGUCAUUAAACUAUUAUAAAGUAUAUAUAAUAUCAUGAAAAAAUUAAAUGACAAUAAGAUGAUAGUUGUAAUCAAUAAUCAAUUGAUUACACAACUAAUUCAAACGCUCAAUAUUUGUCAAUGGCAUAACUCUUCCCUUUCUUAUACAGUGCAAAUUUAAUGAAAUAAAUUUUAGGGAAAUUAUCAGCCAUAUACCUUUAAAUGACACCCGCAUCAAACGUGUGUGAACACUUUUCAAGUGUAUUACUCGUAUAUCCUAAGUUGACAAAAUACUUCUGACAUCCAACAAUCUGUUAACUUUCGUUAGAAAGUUAACAGAAUUGUGACAAAUUGACUAUUUUGCCUUUGAAACUCAAAAUAAGGUAAAAAGAUAAAUUUACUUCAAAAGUUAACGUAAAUUUUCAAUACACAAUUUUUUUUAUUUUGUUAUUAACAAUACAUUUUUUUGAUUAAAAAAUGAAUUAUUAAUGGUAUAUAUUAUUAACAAUUAUUCAUAAAAAAAAUCCAUAUUAUACCAUAAUAAAUUAUUAACAACAUAUUAUUUACACUUAUACAUAUUAUACCAUAAAAAUUUCCAAUUGGAGCUUGGAGGAGUGGAUUUUCAAAAAUUUAGGUUAAAUUUUGGAGGAGUAGAUUCGGUUGUAAAGUAGUUUUUUUUAGCAAUUAUUAAAAAUUAUCCGAUAAAUGGGAUGACAUGUCAUUGUUAUCAAUAUAUAUCAUAUGAUAUGUCAUUUUUUACUAGGUAAAUGGGAUGACAUGUCGUUUUUUAAUCAAAGUUUUGUCAAUCUUAAAAGACUAAAUUACCCUUAUGAUGUCAACACUUGCAAAAAGAAGUUAACGGAUUGGUGGACGGAAGAAGUGUUUUAUCAACUUAGGGUACACGAGUGAUACACUUAAAAAGUGUUCACACAUGUUUGAUACAGGUGUCAUUUAAGAGUAUAUGACUGAUAAUUUUCUUAAAUUUUAUUGCUUGAAUCUAAAAUAUCUUGACUAGAACUUAUUGGUUUAUUGGAUUCCAAUGAGCUUUACUGGUGAGAUAGUUUUGACCAAAUCCAAGUAUCCAACAACUUGAUUGGAUUUGUUUUCGACCAAAGGAGUUGAAGAAAAUUUAAAAAAAAAAUUAAAAGUAUGAAACAAAUUUUCUCUUAUGUCUACAUUGAACAGAUUUAGACAUGAUUAAAAGAUGAGAGCAUGAAGUAUAUACAUACUAUUAUGUCUUUAAUAGUAAUUUACGUUAGAGAUAAUUUAGUAGUAAAAAUGUUUUCUAAAAAGUGGUUCAAAUGAGUAUUAUGGUGGAUUCAAAUAGUCCCACCAUUUUUCAAAAGAUUAGGUUAUUUAUACUCCAAAAAUUACUUUGAACACUUUAUUACUCUGUACAAUCAUGUGCUGGAUUUAAAAUAAUUAAAUUUUACUUUCUACACUCUUUAAAAUACAAAAAAAAGACCUUAGUUAAACUAGUUAAACUAAUUUACUCAAAACACCAAUUAAACUAUUGAGCAUCCAAAAUGAAUUAAUAACAACUUAGUAUAUACACAAAGGAAUCAAAUUAUAUUCUAAACAUAUUCUUUGUUAGCUUUUGUCUAUUAAAGAAUGUAUUCAAUAUUAGUUUUUGCACCCAAUUUUUUAACCAAACAAUUGAAAAAAAUUUUGCCAUCUAGCCCCCCAAAAAAAAAAAAGAAAAAGAAAGAAAAAAGGAAAAAAAGAGGAAGAAGAAAUAGACGAAGAAAAAGAAGACUAAAAGAAGGAUGAGGAAGAGGAAGAAGACUGCAAUUUUUUUUUUCUUCUGAAAAUCAAAGAGUAAAAAUAUGCUCAAAAUAUAUUAAAAGUAUUGAUUUGCUCUUUGUUUAACUAAAUAUUGUUUAAGUUAUUGGAUUUAAAUUUUUUCGGGUUUAUGGCAAGAUAAUCAUAUAUUGAAUAGCGAGUGUUUGGAGUAAUUUUAUUAUGUUAGUUUAUAAGAGAGAUUCCAUAUUAGUAAUUCAUAUAAUAGGUGUUUUUGUAAUAAAAUAAUUUAUUAAAAUAAGAAUAUUCAUAGUAAUGUUAAGAGUGCAAAUAGCCCCACCUUUUUUAUAAAAUAAGUAAAUGAGUAUACAUAAAUAAUAGUAUAUUUUGAGUAUUUUUUCAAGCGCAAAUAGGCCCACCAUGCAUAAUUUAUUUAGAUGAGUUUUAUUUUAUUUAUUUUUUGUUAACUUCAGUUAUCUCUAAAUUAUCGUAAACCUUAAUUUACCCUAAUGAUCAUUCAAAAAAUACGAUCAAAUGGGAACAAUAGAUGAUUUCUUUUUUCUUUUUUUACCUUCUUAAUAGUAAUUGUGGAUUGAUUAAUGUUUAUUAUAGUUUGAGGAUAUUUUGAGAAUAAUUAAUGUAUUAGGGGUAAACAAUUUUUUUUUUUUCAAAUAAUUAACCGAACUUACAUUCUCUAGUUCUAUAGAAGACAGUCAAUGAGUGACAAGUCCACAAAGAUCACCACAUGCAUGAUUGAUAUUGACACGUGUACCAUUAGCUGGAGACAAUAUAAUGGUACAGGAAGAUUCGAAACAAAGAAAAGCCAUUAAACAUAUGCAAACGAAAAUAUGUUUUUAAUUCACUUUCAACUAAUCUACCACGUAGGCAAGUCUCAUUUCUUUGAACACUUCAAAAAUCUCUGUGUGUGAAAUGGAAUUGCCCCUGAAAUCCAUAGACCUGACCAUUGUUAUCGUAACAGUGGGAACUGGGCAUGGAGAGUGCUGAACUGGGUGUGGCUGAGGGGCCCAAGAAGCUGGAGAAAUUCCUGAGACAGCAAAGGUUUCAAAGGCAAUUCUUGCAGGCUUCUGUUUGGUGACUUGAAAGAAAGUUUAGACGAUAAUAUCUCGACUGGAUUGUGCCAUUAUUAAUCAAACUAAUUCAGUUUGCACAAUUGUAGAGCUGAUAUAAGUAGAAGAAAUCCAAAUAGACUUCUCGUUAUAAAUGUAGUUAGUAGAGAUCAUACACAUCAAGAUAAUUCUUGAAUAUUUUUAUGGGUUAAAACGUAAUUUUAUUUUUAUUAAUGAAGAAAAUAUGUAUGGUGUUGAAACAUUUAAGCUAUGUUGUUUGCGAGACCAAUAAUUUUCUUGAUAUCAUGGGCUAAUGGGUGUAACUCAAGCUGUGGUAAGUUAUGCCACGAGCAAAAUAACCAGAGCUUAAAAAUUGAUGCAGGCAAUAAUUCAUUUAUGUGGUUCGGUCCGACACGAAGGUUGAAUAUUGUGAAGCCCGAUCAAAUCAAAGAGAUAUCUACCAAGAUCAAUGAUUUUCAAAAAAUCAAUUCAGAUCCACUUGCCAGAUUAUUGGCACUUGCAUUGGUUAGCCAUGAGGUGACAAGUGGGUUAAUAUAGAAAUCUUAUCAACUAGGUCCACCAAGAGAAGCUCUAGGUUAUUAAUUGAUUUCUUCAUUUGUUUACAUAAAUGUCUUCAUUUUAAUUUCUUUCUGUUUCGUUUCAACUUAUGUUGCCUGCGUUCUACCAAAGUUGUAGUGAAAUAAUUACAAAGUGGGAGAACCUGACGUCUAAAGGAGGAUCAUGUGAGUUGGGUGUACGGCCUUCUCUUGCAAAAUUAACUAGUGAUGUGCUUCCUAGGACGGCUUCUGGGAGCAAUUAGCAAUGUAGGAGUUGAUUUUCUUCAAAUAUUAUGGAAGUAGGUUUGGACCAUCCUGGGCUUAUUACUUCGAUCCAUGUCAUCAUAUAUUUAAUCUAAGAUGUUAAUCAUAUUGUUGAAAUCGAUAAGUAGGACUUGAUUAGUGCAUUCAAUACGUUCUUGUAUUUUCUAUUGUUCUUAUUUCUUAUGGGCAGGCAUGUACCUUCAGAGAGAAAUAAGAGAAUGAAGGAAAUUGACAAGCAAAUACGAGCUUCACUGAUGGGAAUCACAAAAAACAGAUAGAAGGCAAUGAAAGCAGAGGAAGCUGGAAAUGAUGACUUGGCAUACUGAUGGAGACCAAUUUUAGAGAAAUUGAAGAACUUGGAAACAACAAAAAUGUUGGAAUAAGCUUUAACGAUGUGAUCGAAAAGUGCAAGCUAUUUUACUUUGCUGGCCAAGAGACUACCUCUGUUUUGCUUAAUUGGACAAUGUUGCUAUUGAGCAAGCAUCAAGAUUGACAAGUGUUGAGUGUUAGAAAAUGUAUAUUAAUAAAGGAGAAAAUCGUCAUUUUACACUUCAAGUCUCACUAACAUCCUUACUUUUCUAUAAUUAAGUCCCUUGUGAUUUAAUUAUGUGUGUUUUAUUUUAAUGAAGUAUUUUAUGUAUUUUAGGGGCAGCAUGGUCAUUUCACAAUUAACGAAAGAUUAGAGAGCAAAACAUAUAGCAAUUUUGGAGUCAGGACAGUCAAAAGCCUUAGGAGGAGCAUACAAGGAUAAAUAUUACUGUUCAUAUGUACGGUACUAUACAUGAUACUAUUCACGACGUUGUUCACAUAUACGGUAUGAUGACAUGUCAUUGACCGAUGACGUGGCAUUGACCAAUGAUGUGGCACAGACCGAUGAUGUGACAGUAUCGAUUGGACGAGUGAUGUGGCAUUAACUGCUUAUGUGGCGGUGACUGAUGAAUUGGCGUUGACCGAUGAUAUGUCACGAUCCUAUUGGCUAAAAUAUUGAUGUGGUGUUGACCGGUGACGUGGUAGUAUGUUAGUGGAGAAAAAAACGUGCAUACGGUACAUGCAUAUACACAGAAUAACAGCCCUGAUGAGGUGUUCUAUCCAAUCAGAACUUGCCACGUGGCGCAAUCCUUAGCAUCUAAAUUUUUUUAAUUUGAUGGCCAUAAUUUACUCAUUGUAUCUAUAAAAUGGGAGUUCUCCCCCCUAAUUCUAGACCCUUGAAUUCAUUUUUGAGCUCCAUUUUCUGUAAUUCAUUAUUUAUCUUGUAUUUUAUAUAUAUUUUAAUAAAUUUCAUUUUACCCCUAAUUUAAUUAUGAGUAACUAAUUUUCUUUCAAGCUUGGGUUGAAGGUGAAGUCUCAAUAUGUUCCCUGGUUUUUUUUUUGGUAAAUUUAAUUUUUCUUUUUGACUUUUUGUCGACAGAUAGUAAUAAUCUUGUCUAGAUACCGCACUGGUAUAACUGGCUCCCAAGUGUAGUGUUAUUACUAUUUGGCACGAUAAGUCAUUAACACCAUAUUAAUUAGAGUGUGGUUUAUAAGGAGUGGAAACCCCCCUCAUGAUUUAAUUGGCACUAAUAAAGAAUAUUAAGCCCAUAGUGCAUGUUGAUGCAGAUCCAGAUACCCAAGCAUUUCAUUUUAACAGAUUUUACUUCAAUUUAUUCUCUCCAUUUUAAUUUGAAAUAAUCUAAAUCACUUCUACCACAAAUCCAAUCACCCACUUAGAAAAUUAACUCUAUACACAAUUAAAAUCCACCUUCUCGUGGGAUCGACGCUCAUCACCAUUGAUAUAUUCUACAAUAGAUUCGUGCACUUGCGAGUUCAAUAAAAUUUACAUAACAACAAUAACGUGCAAGAAAAGAGGUUUUGCAAGUUUUUGGCAAUAAUAAGAGUGAUUAUGAUGGAUUGAAUCACCUCAAAAUUGUAAGUACAAAUGAAAUUGAGUUGAAAUAUGCUUUACUAUAGUUGAUAAAUUUUGGUCGUAUUAAUUUGCGUUUUGUGUGCAUAUCUUACACGUUCAAAUGAUAUUCUACAAGGUACCCACGCUUUAUCCCCCAGUAGUUAUACAGGCCGAGCAAUCAGAAUUUUAGGAUGAAAAACAAUGAAAUUUGGAUGAAAACAACAAACAUUUAAGGUGGGCGAUAGCACUGUCCUUAAGAUGCCUCAAGAUGCAAUAUCUCGGUGCAAGAAGGGCUAACAAAAGUAGUUUGAUCUCCACUAUACAAUUUCUACUAUUGUGAUGUUGCACUUGAACAUGAUAAUCUAGAACAACAAAAUGUAUAAUGACGAAAGAAAGGAAAACAUAGAGCAAGAGAGUAAGUUUUCGGAUGACCAUAGUGUGAUCUAUUUGGCUCUUUAAAUAGAUACAAGCCCUAACCCAUUUUUCCUCUCUAAAUUGGAAUUAUAAUUAUAUUUAUUAAAUCCUAAUUCGAUUAGGAAUUGAAUUCUCAAUCUAAUUCGAAUUAAAAUAAAUAAAAUUAAAACAAAGGACAAAAACAUAAUAGAUGGCCAAGCCCUCACAUAUACAUGAAACCCCAUGGGGGGGAGAGGGUCCCCCUUGCGAGUGAGUUAUUGGGUAUGAGCGACCAAUUAAUAGAGUCAUGGAAUGAGCUCUUCUCAUGGGCUUGGUUUCAUGCAAAUGGGCCUCCUCUUCAUAGGCAUGUUACUGCACUUUAUUUGGUUUCUAUAUAAAAAUCAACUUAUACUCUCUUAUUUAAGUAAUGUGGGAUAUUGGUAUUUUAAAAUACCAACUCAAUCUUUAACAAUCCUCCACAUAUUUCAAAAUACUCAAUUUCUUUCGACUUCAUCAUAGUCCAUAGAGUUUAAUGCAUAUGAACUGGUGCCUUUUGGCCAAUGAACUAGCCAUUGAAUACCUAACCAUGUCUCAUAGGAACUUGGUGAAACUGAUAAUUUCUAUAAACCAAUAUUCUCUUUUUUUUUGUAAGACAGAGGACUAGAAGCUCAUAUUAAACUCUCUCAAUGUUUUGUUGUUUUGCGAUUUGGCACUUUAGUAGCCAUGUGCCCUUGUUUUCAUGAGCACUCUAGAGAAGCAUGUUUAACUCUCAUAGGAACUUACCCAAUUCUACACUAACAUAGGUGAACCUCCAUCAAGUAUGUCAUGCAGUUUUGACACACCAUCAUAUAUAAAAAGUGAGUUAUGAAGUUUAUUAAAAGCUCAAUUGCUUAACCUAAAUCACUGCGAUAAACAUUAUCUUGUUCUAGGGAGGAUUUACAAAUAAAGAAAAUAUUUAUAGAAUAAAAAUAAGAUUACAUAAUAUUGAUAAUAAAUAUAAGAUUACAUAAUAUUGAUAGUGUUACAAAACAACAAGUAACUUAUUAAACGUUCUUCAUGGGAUCUCCAAUCACACAGGUAGAGUUACCAUCACUCUUGUCUUUUGAUCUAGACAGUAGUCCCAUCUCCCUUGAUGUGAUCUCUACUUAACUCUUGUUUAGUGUUUUUGGUAGAGGAUUGGUCAAAUUCAACUUUGUCCUUACAAAAUUUAGGCUCAUAAUAUUUGAUUCCAAUAGCUACUUAACGAUACGAUGUCUCAUAAUGUGUAUACUCUUCUUAUUAUAUAUGUCACUUAUAGCUCUUACAGUAGCAACUUGACAAUCACAAUGGAUUGGCGUAGUAGUAGGAUGGUGAGCAAACAUGGGAAGAUUUUCCAAAAGGUUUCGCAACCACUCAGCCUCAAAACAUAUUUUCUCUAAAGCAAUUAGCUUGAAUUCCAUGGUAGAGCAAGCUAUACAUGUUUGCUUGGAUGAUUUCUAAGAUACUGCACCUUUAUCAAGCAUGAAAAUAUAACCUAGUGGAUUUGAGCUUAUUUGAUCAGAGAUCCAAUUUGCAUCACUAUACACUUCAAGUACUUAUGGAGAUCUACCAUAUUUAAGCCUAUAAUCAAUGGUUCCUCUUAAAUAUCUAGCAAUUCUAGCUACUGUAGUCAAGUGAUAGUCGUCAGGUUUUCUACAAUUCAUCAAGUACAUUAGGUUACCAAUUAUUUGGGCAUACAUCACUUGAUCAACACUAUGUUAGGUAUUCUUCUUUAUGUGGGUAUUAUUAUCAUACGUGGAAGGGACAUUGUUUUGCAAUCAUAAUACUUAAAUCUUGUUAACAGUUUUUCAACAUAAUGUUCUUGCAAUAACAUGAGACCAUCACAAACUUUUAUAAUUUUGAUGCUUAAAAUAACAUUUUCCUCUAUCAUAUCUUUCAUAUCAAAAUUAGAUUCAAGCAUCUCCUUAAUCUCAUUAAUAGUUCCAACAUUAGAACUUAAAAUAAGCAUGUCAUCAAUAUAGAGACAUAUGAUGAGAAAAACAUAAGUGUUUAUAGAUUUAGAACAUAUACUUUUGUCUAAAUCAUUAAUCGUAUAUCCAUUGGACAAUAAUACUUGAUCAAAUGUCUCAUGCCAUUGUUUCGGUACUUGUUUUAAGCCAUAUAGAGGCAUAACCAACUUGCACACUUUAUGCUAGAACCUAACAACCUUCAGGUUGAUCUAGAUAGAAACUCCUCAUCUAAGUUUGCAUUGAGAAAGACAAUUUUAACAUUUAUUUGACGCACAUGUAGAAUAUGAAUUGAUGUAAGAGCAAUCAAAACUCUAAUAGAUGCAAUCCGAGUUACAGGAGCAUAUGUGUCAAAAUAAUCUAUAUCUUUCUUCUAUAUGAAUCCCUUGGCCAUCAAUCUUGCUUUAUAUUUAUCAAUAUAUCCAUCAACUUUUAAUUUCUUUUUGAAAAUUCACUUGCACCCAAUAGGUUUUAUACCUAGAGGUAUGUCAACUAAUUCUCAUACACGAUUGCUCAUUAUAGAAUUUAGUUCAUUGUUGAUAGCUUCUUUCCACUAUAGUGCAUCUCGAGAAAUCAUAGUUUUUGUGAAAGUCUGAGGAUCAUUUUCCGCAAGAAAGAUAUAGAAAUCAUCCUGAUGCAUUUUCUUAGUUCCACAUUUGAACUUUCAGAAGAAUUAAUUGUUGAUUCAGUAUAGGAUAGUUGUUUCUCCAUGCUAGUUUUUUAAGAAAAAUAGAUUCAAAGAACUUAGCAUUCUUGGAUUCAAUGAUGGUAUUAGCCUCAAAUGAGAUACCUUAAUCUUGUAACACCAAGAACCUAUAGGCAACACUCUUGUGGGCAUACUCUAUAAACAUACAGUUGAUAGUUUUUUGUCCUAAUCUUAUUCUUUUGGGAUCCAUUUUAAGAACUUCGGCUAGACACCCCCAUAUUUUAAGGUGUGAUAAGUUAUGCUUAUAGCCUUUUCAUAAUUCAUAGGGUGUCUUACCUAUUUCCUUAUAAGGUAUUUUGUUUUGAAUAUGACAAGCAGAUAACAUAACUUCCUCCCACAAAUUCAGCAGUGCCCCAUAACUUAUUAUCAUGGCAUUUACCAUGUUUUUCAAAGUUUUGUUUUACCUUUUAGCUAUACCAUUAUAUUCAAGUGAAUAGGGAGGUAUCACUUCAUGGAUGAUACAAUGAUUCUCACAAUAAACAUUUAACAUGCUUGAAUCAUAUUCACCUCCUUUAUUAGUUCUUGAUCUUUUAAUUGUCUUAUUAAAUUGAUCUUCAACUUCACUUUUAUAGACUAAGAAAUUUUCACCUGCUUUAUUUUUAUUUCUUAAUAGAUAUAAUUUUGUAUAUCUCAAAAACUCAUCAAUAAAAGUAAUAUAAUACAUUUUGUCUCUUCUGAUCAUAGAUUGUUUCAAAUCAUCAAGGUCACUGUGAAUUAAAUUGAGAAGUUCGGUUUCUCUAUAUUGAACUUAUCUACAUGUCUUCUUAGUGGAUUUGGCUUCAACACACACCUUGCAUUUGUCAUUAGAUAAGCUCAAAUUAGACUGUAAACCAAGUUCUCUCAUUUUAUUAAUAUAAGAAAAAUUCAUAUGACUAAGUCUCCUAUGCCAAAAUCAAUAAAGUCAACUACACAAGCAGAAGAAGAAGCCUUUUCAUUUAUUAUAAUAUUGGAUACAUAAAGUUUCAAGAGUUCUCUAGAACAAUACCCUUUUUGUCAUUACAAUUUUAUCACCCUCAAAGGAGACUUUGAACCUAGUUUUGCCCGCAUAAAAACAAAUAAUAGAUUGUAUCUAAUCUCAGGAACAUGGAGUACAUUACUCAAUGAGAGGUUUUUCCAAGAUGUAAGCUUGAGAAGAAUUUUACCUUUGCUUGGGAUUGAAGUAGAUCGAGAAUCACCAACUUAAAUAACUUGCUCUCCCUCCCGCACUAGAUUUAGUCAAAGAAAGAGUGUUUAUUGUUAUAUAUAUGUCUAGUAGCUCCAGAAACAAUCACCCAAUCUUUUCUUCUAUUUACCAUGUUCACAUCAGAGACAACUACAGCAGCAAUGAUGUCAUCUCCUUUUCCUUCAAUCAUAGGCUUUAGGAGGUUUUUUGCUAUCUUCAUUUCUCAUAGCUUUAUGCUUGCAUUGAUUAGCAUAAUACCUACUUUUUCGACAAACAAAACAAUGACCUUUCUUCUUAGCAAUGAGCCUUUUGGAGUUAUUAAGGUGUUUAUUAUUAAGAUUGUUCUGCUUUUUAUUAGGUUGAGGAGUGUUCUCUAUUAGAUUUGGAUUGGAAUAAAAUUCCUUUACUUUAUCGAAUGCAUCUCUAAUUAUGUUCUUCUCUUCAAUCUUAAUAUAUAUAAUAGCAUUUUCAAGACUCACUUGCUUCUUCUUAUGCUUUGAGGUUUUAAUAUUGUUGAGUUCUAACAUUUUUAACCAUUUUUUUCUUAAGUAGUGCCCAUAUCUCAAACGCAUUCUUAUAUUAAUAGUAAACAUCGAAGGUAGAACUAGCAAGAGUGUUCAAUAUUGUGUACUUGUAGACCUUGUUACAAAUAUUCUAAUUCUGGAGUUUCUUGUCAUUAUCUUCAGUGCCCUCUUUUAGUGGUGAUGACUGUAGAUAGUCAGUCAGGUCAUGAACAUCUAAUACAUCAAAGAGCUUUACUUGCCAGUGCUUAAAAUUUUUGCCAUUGAACAAUUCAAUCUUGGAGGUAUUUGGCAAGUUUUUUUUUCCUAGUGAUUAUAGUGGAAGCAACUGCUAGAAGAUCGGCAGUGGGAACAAUAAGUCCAGAGGCUGAGGGAGCAUCAUGUCCAACAACUAAUGAAGACAAAUUUUGUGGUUGAAUAUCACUCAUAUUUGAUCUUAAGAUUGUUGGAAUUUUAGGACAAAAAAAUUGUGAAAUGUGGAUGAAAAAUAGCAAAGAGUAAAGGCGUACGAUAACAUUUUCCUUAAGAUCAAAAUGUGCAUCUCAACAUGCAAUAUCUCAGUGCAAGAGGAAGUGAUGAAAGUGAUUUAAUCUCGAUGUUGCACUUCAACAUGAUAGUCUAGAACAACAAAACAUACAACAACGAAGAAAAGGAAAACAAAGGACAAGAGAACAAGUUUUUGGAUGACCAUAGUGUGCUAUAUUUAGCUCUUUGAAUAAAUGCAAGCCCUAGCCCCUUCUUCUGCAUUAAAUCUGAAUUUUACAUAUAAAAGGAUUUGAUUGAACCAUAAUUUGAUUAGAAAUCAAAUUCUCAAUCUAAUUCGAAUUAAAAUAAAUAAAAUAAAAAGGGCAAAAAUUAAAAGAUGGCUAAGCUGGUGCACAUGCACGAUAGCUCCGUGGGGGAGGUGGGGCCCCCUGCACAUGAGUUAUUGGGCAUUCUCUUUAUGACCUUGUUACCACACUAUAUUUGGUUUCUAUAUAUAAACCAACUUAUACUCUCUUGUCUAAGUAAUGUGAGAUAUUGAUAUUUGAAAAUACCACACUAUAUAAGUGAUGUGAGAUAUUGAUGCCCAAACUUUAUCCCUCAGCAGCUAUACUAGUCGAGCUAUUCGAAAAGAAAUGAAGCUUGGAAGCUUGACAUUAAAAAUUUUGAAGCUGUUAUAAUACUAUACUUACAGUUAAAAAUGUACUAGCACUACCUUAAAUCAAAUUUAUUAUGACACUGCUCGAAUUCUUUCCUCACUAAUUAGAGAAAUAUUUACUUUAUCAACAACAAUAAAGGAGAUAUUUCUACUCAUUUUUAAUUGGAAGAGGAAUAAUCGAGUCCUUAACGUGAGAACUUAAACCCAUGCCCUUACUAAAGUGAGAGUAUAAAAAUUCACCAUUUGACUAAAAAUUUCAAGUUAAAUUAUGGACAAAUCCAGCAUGGGACCAAUUUGGACACAUGCCCCAGCUAGUUUUUGAAUUUUUUUUAAUUAUUUUAAAAAUGUAUUUUAUUUUAUUAUUUAAGUGAUCUAGCAAAAAUAAAAAAUUAUGAAAGUGUCCCAAACAAUUUUAAAGAUUUUAUGUUGCUCCUAGUUUAAAUAUCUAAUUUUAAAUAAUUUAAUUAACUAUUUAAACAUUAUGAAAGUUAAAUCAAGACAAAAGACUGUAGAUAAAACAAAAGAGAUUCAUUUUACACUUUUUACAUUUCUCGUCCUUUUUUUAGUGCUUUGAAUGAAAGGUACUUUAUUUAUUUAUUUGUUAUAGUGGUAGUAGAAUAGUUGAUCAGAGCAAUGCGUAUGCAGCCAUACGUGGAUUUCAUUGUAGUUCCCAUAAAUGAAAGGCACUUUCCUACAAUUAUUUAGUUUUUUAAUAUUGAUCCCUAAAUUCUAACUCUAGUCAAUUCUAAUUUUCAAUUAUUCCAAUUGACCUUUUAUCUAGAAAAUCCCUAGUUUUAUCAUGUAUUCAUGUUAACUCUUUGCGUCACAUUAUAUGAACAUAUUUACUAUCAUAAAAAGAUUUUAGAGAAUAAUUUAAUUUAGAGAAUAAAUUAAGUGAUAACUUAAUUGUAUGCAUUGAAAAAUAUGCUUUUGAUUAUAUUAAUAAUGAAGUUGUUUCACGUUAUUUUCAACAUAUUACAUCCCAUCGAAAAGCCUUCAACAAGGGCAAUUGUAAUGAGUAAAUUUAUUAUUAAUGAAUAUUAGUAUUGUCAUGUUAUAUAUUACUAUAUAAAAUUUUAAAUUAUAUUAUAUUUUAAAUAAAGUACUAAUUAAGAGUGUGCAGUCACACAUAGGGAUGGUAAUUAUCAGACCCGGACGAAUCCGGAUAAUCCGGGCCGGAUUCAACCCAUAUAAGAAAAAUUUAAAUCCAAUAUCCGGAUGUAUUCGGGUCCAGUUCUGAGUUUGUGUGAACUCGUAAAUCCGGAUCCCAAUGCUGAAUAUCUUUAUUUUAAUAUUAAUUUUUUUAAUAUAAAUAGAAACAUCAAAGAAAAAGAAUUUAACUGUGCCCUAGUUUCACUCUCAAAUAGAGGUGGCAAAAAUACCCGCCCGGUCCGGACCCGGACCGUACCCGGGCAUUGCGGGCCGGGUAUUACCCGGCUCGGGUAUGAAGCCGGGUCGGUCUUGGGCAUCACUUGAUAAACCCAGAAUCCGGAUUUUAUUAAAAAAAUUAUAAAAUAUAUAUUAUUUUAAAUAUUUUAUAUUUAUUUGACUUAUUUAUUAUACAUAUAUAAAGUUUUAAACACUUAAAGUUUAUAUUUUCAUGUCAAAUUUUAUUGAAAUAAAUUUAAAACUUAUAAAAUUACUAAAAAAUAAAAAAUAUAUACACAUAAAAUAUUAAAAAAUAUAAAAUUCGAGUACCCGGAUUAAAACCCGGCCCGGACCCGAACCCGGACUGGUUGCAUCCGAGCAGGGUCCGGUCAUGGCAAUACCCGGACCCGGCCCGGGGUUUUGCCAUCUCUACUCUCAAAGUCGCGGCCGCCAAAGCCUUAAAGCCAAAAAUUUCCUCAUCAAAUCACCAUGAAUCGUGCUGUGUUCCUCAUCUUUACCGCCAAAAGCCCAACUCAAAUCAACAUGCUUAACCACCUCCGCGGCCGAUGACUGUGAUACGGGUUGAAAACGGCACCAUCAUCAUCAGCGGCUUGAGGGCGAUUGCGGCUGUGAUGCAGUAUAUAACCAUUAUCCCGAUAUCGGUAUCUUCAGCAAGGCCAUGGGUGUCUCAUGAACAGUUUCAACAAUGAUAUUUUCGAGAAGUUGGCCCAAGAACGUGAUUUCAUUCUCUUUGGGUUCUGGUUAUUGAAAUGGGUAGUGGAUUGUGAUUUGAUGGGAGUGUCAUACAAGGCAAUUGCAAAACAAGUAAAGGCUAAAAAUGGGAUUUUGAAAGUGUUUUUUUUUUUUUCUUUUCCCUUACACGACUGUGGCUUUGAGAAGCUUUGGUUGAGUGAUCCAACGCUCAUCGUCAUUCCUUACAGUGAGUAAAGUUUGUUAAAGUUUUUUUCAAAGCAAAUAAGAGAUUUUAAGUUAAAAAAUAUCCGGGUUUAAAACCUGGAUGUUUCUGGAUUGAAACCGCACCGGACCCAAACUUAAACUAUACGGUUACUAUCCGGACCUGGGAAGAUGAAUUGACAUUCGGGUCUACAACCGGAAAGACCAAACCCGGACCCGGACCUAAAAUUUGCCAUCCUGACUCACACACCUUAUGGAGUACGAUUGCGUACGUAACAAACACCCAUUUGACAGUUGUAAGACCCACAACAAUACUCGUCAAAUGAGAACUUAUCACACAAACAGUUGUAUCCCUGAUCAUAUUCGAUUUUGAAUGUACCCCAACUCGGUUUCGAUCCUGGCUAUUUUCCUGUUAAACUUUUUCAUCUACCUACAAUUGAACGAUGGUUAACCAAAGCACGGUUUAAUAUUAAAUUCAUAAAUUUUAAGAGUACAGAUGUCAUUACUAGAAAUUCUUAUUUACAUAUCCACACGCAUAAUUUUAUUUUUGAUGAAAUUUUAGUGUGUUUUUAGAAAAUAUAAUUAACCGAACCAUACACUCUAUGGUUCUAGAACAAAAUCUUGAGUUGUGUAAAAUAAUAGACCCGUGUUCUCUUUUAACACUACUUGUUGGAGACAGUAUCUGGUCCAUCAAACGAAUGCAGACAAAAAUGAUUUUAUCCGUCAUUUAAACCAAUCUUCCAACCUCAAAGAUACAUACUCUCCCAUUUCUCACAACACUUAAAAAAUUUCUGAGUGUGAAAUGGAAUUGACUCUGAAAUCCGUAGCGUUCACCAUUGUUAUUGUAACAUUGGUAACAUGGGCAUGGAUGGUGCUGAACUGGUUGUGGCUGAGGCCCAAGAAGCUGGAGAAAUUCCUGAGACAGCAAGGUUUAAAAGGCAAUUCUUACAGGCUUCUGUUUGGUGACUUGAAAGAAAGUACCAUCAUGUUGAAGAAAGCAAAAGCCAGACCUCUCAGUUUGGAUGAUGACGCUGCAGUUCGUGUUACUCCAUUCCUUCACAAACUGUUCAAGGAUUAUGGUAUGUAUGUCAGCGGCCUCAUAUUCUCUUUUACUUGUUUCCAAUUUCAGUAGGUAACAGCCUAUCCACUCAUUGGUUGAACGGUGUCAUUAUUUACAAAGUUAAUUUAGAAGGUUCGUUAGAGUUAUAAUUAUAAACUAAAAAUUGGAUUUUGAUUAUAAAUAUCAGUGAAAAGUAUAACAUGAAAAGUUGGUUCUUGAAAAUUUUUAUGGGUUAAAACAUAAUUUUAAUCUCCUUCGAACAAAGAAAAACCUAAUUAUAGGUCUGGGAUAUCGACGUUGCAGCUUUCCUUGGGCUUUAUCCGUUAUUCUUUGUUUAUUAUGAAGAAACUUUAUAUAUUGUGAUAAACGUUAUAUAUCGUGAUAAACUGAUAAACGUUUUUAAACAUUAAUGCUAUGGGAGAAACGUCGGUGAGGUAGUGUGGACUACAAGUGGAUCCCGAUGAUGCUCAGCCAUUUCUUUGUGGGACUACAAGUGGAUCCCGAUGAGGUACCCACUCCUCUGCCAAAUCACAAAACAUGUGUGGCGCUUGAGGUGGUAGGCCACCCCUCGGAAUUUUGUCUCUAAAAGCUACAUGUAUCUAGAGAUUGGGAACUAUCUAGUUUAGCUCGGCUCUGGGUGAAAACCGAACUAAACUAAAAUAAAUUGAUUUAUCAUUUUGUGGAUUAUAAAUCAAUUUGUGGAUUGAAUACGAAUCAAAUGCUAGAAUUGAACUGAAUCGAAUUAAUUUAGUUCGGUUCGAUUUUGUGAUUGGGUUUAGUUUUGAUUUUAUUUAGUCCAAGCAAUUUUACUUGUAUAUUUUUUUUAAUACAAACUUUGCUUGUAUAAUUAUUCAAUAAAAAACAACAUAAUAAUAUAAUAUUACUAUAACAACAAUUUUAAGUCCAUAAAUCCACGAAUAAUAAACUAUGUAAUAGAAUUCAACACAAAUAAAUCAACAUAAUAAAGUCACAACACGAAAUAUACAUAAUUUAGAAAUUCACUACAAAUUACAAAUCCACAACAAUAAAUAAAACAAGAAAGCAACAAUACAAAAUCAUAUAUAGGAGAAAUUUCAAAGUUCCACGUCAAUUUAAAUUUGUGAGUUUUAAUUUUUCUCUCUAAAGCAUUUGGGUUUUCAGUUUAGUUCGAAUUAAACAAACACAAAUUGGUUUGGAGAUUUAUGAAUCAUUUGAUUUUUUACUGCCCCCAACCGAAUGUCUACCCCUAUGAGAGACCAAUAAUUUUCUUGAUAAGAUGGGAUAGUUGCUCUAACUCAACCUGUUGAUGAGCUAUGCCACGUGUAAAAUUCCCAGAGGGAAAAUUGGUCUGUGGAUGGUGUUACUCCCCGUACAGUGCACAAUAGCGUUGUGUAGUUUCAACAUCAUUUGCAAAAUCUUGUGAAAUCACACCAUGAAUGUAACUUCUUACCUUGUAUUAGGCUUAGUUAUUUGGAAUAGAAGUUUAAUGAUUGAAGUAAAAUCAAUUGGCAUUUAUUCUUGACUAAGUUUUGAAUAAAAUCACUAAACUUUUACUGCUUAAAAUGUGGCCAUGCGCAAUGGAGCAUCUGCCUUCUAACUUUUGCAUAUAUAAUGUUAAAAACACUAAUGCAGGUAAGAAUUCUUUCAUGUGGUUUGGUCCGACACCAAGGGUGAAUAUAACGAAUCCUGAUCAAUUAAAAGAGAUAUUUUCCAAGAUCAAUGAUUUUCCAAAAAUCAAUUCAAACCCACUUGCCAGGAUACUGGCAGCUGGCUUGGUUACUUAUGAGGGUGAGCAGUGGGCUAAACACAGAAAAAUUAUCAACCCAGCAUUCCACCAAGAGAAGCUCAAGGUUAUUAAUUUCUUUAUCUGUUUACAUAAAUCUCAUUGGAAAAUUCCAUAUUCCCUUCAUUUUUCAUUUUGAUUUCUUGCUCUCAUUACAGCUUAUGUUGCCAGCAUUCUGCCAAAGUAGUAGUGACAUAAUUACAGAGUGGGAGAAGCUAAUGUCUACCGAAGGAUCAUGUGAGUUGGAUGUAUGGCCUUAUCUUGCAAAUUUGACAGGGGAUGUGAUUUCUCGAACUGCUUUUGGGAGUAUUUAUGAAGAAGGAAGACGGAUUUUCCAGCUCCAAUCAGAGCUAGCUGAACUCACAAUACAAGUUAUUCGUUCAGUCUAUAUUCCAGGAUGGAGGUACAUGUACAUUUCCUUGUUAGAUCAUAAAUGCUUAGUUAUAUUUCCGCUUUGAUUAACAUGGUGGGAGUUAAUUUUUUUUUUUUUUGGGGGGGGGGGGGGGGGCAAUUACUGAGAAUAAGAUCCACGCAACUCAUUUUGGUUUAGAUAACUCAGAUUGUGCCAUUAUAGUGUUAAUCUAAAAUGGUUCGGUGGAUUUCUGACGUUAAAUAUUAGUAGAUUAUAAUUCAAAAUAAAUAAAUAAAUAAAGACUAGGGGUUGAUUAAGUCAUUUAGUUAUUAUCUCUCUCAUAACUGUUUCUAUGCUUAUUUGUAGGUUUUUGCCUACUAACAGAAAUAAGAGAAUGAAAGAACUUGACAAGGAAAUAAGUACUGCACUCAUGGGAAUCAUAAAAAACAGAGAGAAGGCAAUGAAAGCAGGGGAAGCUGCAAAUGAUGACUUGUUAGGCAUACUGAUGGACACCAAUUUUAGAGAAACCGAAGAACAUGGAAAUAACAAAAAUGUUGGAAUGAGCUUCAACGACGUGAUGGAAGAGUGUAAGCUAUUUUACUUUGCCGGCCAAGAGACUACCUCUGUUUUGCUUAAUUGGACAAUGGUGCUUUUGAGCAAGCAUCAAGAUUGGCAAGAACGUGCAAGACAAGAGGUUUUGCAAGUUUUUGGCAAUAAUAAGCCAGAUUAUGAUGGAUUGAAUCACCUCAAAAUUGUAAGUACAAAGGCAGUUGAAUUUGAAUAUGCUAUACUGAUAAAUUUUGGUCUUAUUAAUUUGCGUUUUGUGUGCAUAUCUUACAGGUUCAAAUGAUAUUCAACGAGGUACUGAGGCUUUAUCCUCCAGCAGUUAUGCUUGCUCGAGCUGUUAAUAAAGAAACGAAACUUGGAAACUUGAUAUUACCCGCUGGGGUUCAAAUCAGUUUGCCAGUGAUCAUGGUUCACCAUGAUCCUGAACUUUGGGGUGAUGAUGCCAUUGAGUUUAAAC
RNAcentral lists this long non-coding RNA (23573 nucleotides) under Citrus x clementina. Its description in RNAcentral is "Citrus clementina (C. clementina) long non-coding RNA (CCLE_LNC004365)". The record is from RNAcentral. Lineage: Eukaryota; Viridiplantae; Streptophyta; Magnoliopsida; Sapindales; Rutaceae.